UACGAAGGGGGCUAGCGUUGUUCGGAAUUACUGGGCGUAAAGGGCGCGUAGGCGGUGCGGUAAGUCACCUGUGAAACCUCUAGGCUUAACCUAGAGCCUGCAGGCGAAACUGCCGUGCUUGAGGGUGGGAGAGGUGCGUGGAAUUCCCGGUGUAGCGGUGAAAUGCGUAGAUAUCAGGAGGAACACCAGUGGCGAAGGCGGUGCUCUGGGCCGGUACUGACGCUGAGGAGCGAAAGCGUGGGGAGCAAACAGG
RNAcentral lists this ribosomal RNA (253 nucleotides) under uncultured bacterium. RNAcentral's name for it is "partial 16S ribosomal RNA". It matches the Rfam family "Bacterial small subunit ribosomal RNA", at positions 524 to 776 of the family's 1533-position model. The record is from RNAcentral.